RNAcentral lists this transfer RNA (69 nucleotides) under Ictidomys tridecemlineatus (thirteen-lined ground squirrel). RNAcentral describes it as "Spermophilus tridecemlineatus (thirteen-lined ground squirrel) tRNA". It matches the Rfam family "tRNA". Rfam says of the family: Transfer RNA (tRNA) molecules are approximately 80 nucleotides in length. Lineage: Eukaryota; Metazoa; Chordata; Mammalia; Rodentia; Sciuridae. The record is from Rfam by way of RNAcentral.
GGGGCUGUAACUCAGUGGUAGAGGGCUUGCCUAGCAUGCGUGAGGCCCUGGGUUCGAUCCUCAGCACCA